This 422-nucleotide ribosomal RNA is filed under the name uncultured bacterium. RNAcentral describes it as "partial 16S ribosomal RNA". It matches the Rfam family "Bacterial small subunit ribosomal RNA", at positions 359 to 774 of the family's 1533-position model. The record is from RNAcentral.
AGUUUUUGACAAUGGGGGAAAGACUGAUCCAGCCAUCUCGCGUGUGUGAGGAAGGCCUUCGGUUUGUUAAGUACUUUUUUUGGAGAGGAAAAAGUAUGUCCUAGUACGAGAUACUGCUGACGGUAUCUGCAGAAUAAGCGCCGGCUAACUAGCUGCCAGCAGCCGCGGUAAUACGUAGGGUGCAAGCGUUAAUCGGAAUUAGUGGGCGUAAAGCGUGUGUAGGCGGUUCGGAAAGAAAGAUGUGAAAACCCAGGGCUCAACCUUGGAACUGCAUUUUUAACUGCCGGGCUAGAAUAUGUCAGAGGGGGGUAGAAUUCCACGUGUAGCAGUGAAAUGCGUAGAUAUGAGGAGGAAUACCGAUGGCGAAGGCAGCCCCCUGGGAUAAUACUGACGCUCAGACACGAAAGCGUGGGGAGCAAACA